GCCGCCUAGAGGAGCCGGUUCCAGCUAACCACCUCCCCGUCGGGCUCUCGGUGCGUGGUUCCCAGGUGCUCAGCUCUGCCGGGCCCAGGAGGUGCCGCCUCGCAGGGACGCGGAACCGGGUGCGUGGCCCCCGUGGGGCGGACCAGAUAGCGCGCGGCGGUCCGGAGGCUCGUAGCCAAGCAGCACCAGAGACCCAAGUUGAGGAACAGCCUUUAAAAUAACUGGCCUGUACUCUUACAUACAUUAAAGCCAUCAAAGACAAAGACUGAAGAAAAACUUUUGCAGAUCAAAGGAGUUUAAGAGACAUGAUCCUGAACCGGAAAAAGUAAAAAAUAAAAAAAUAAAAAGCUUAGGUGAUGGAAAUGGGACUUGGAUGGCCAUUCUGAUGCUGACAUAUCUCUUCUUGACACCCUGAAGUACUACGAUUUUGGAGCUCGGCACAUGAGAAUUCAGAAGAGUUUGCGGAAGAG
Long non-coding RNA from Rhinopithecus roxellana (golden snub-nosed monkey), 470 nucleotides. RefSeq lists it as uncharacterized. The record is from RefSeq and is a predicted model, not a curated record. NCBI's taxonomy places the organism in Eukaryota, Metazoa, Chordata, Mammalia, Primates, Cercopithecidae. The transcript has 3 exons.